This 497-nucleotide ribosomal RNA is filed under the name uncultured bacterium. RNAcentral describes it as "partial 16S ribosomal RNA". It matches the Rfam family "Bacterial small subunit ribosomal RNA", at positions 28 to 507 of the family's 1533-position model. The record is from RNAcentral.
GAUGAACGCUGGCGGCGUGCCUAAUACAUGCAAGUCGAGCGAACGGACGAUAAGCUUGCUUCUCUGAUGUUAGCGGCGGACGGGUGAGUAACACGUGUAUAACCUACCUAUAAGACUGGGAUAACUUCGGGAAACCGGAGCUAAUACCGGAUAAUAUUUUGAACCGCAUUGUUCAAAAGUGAAAGACGGUCUUGCUGUCACUUCUAGAUGGAUCCGCGCUGCAUUAGCUAGUUGUUAGGGUAACGGCUUACCAAGGCAACGAUGCAUAGACGACCUGAGAGGGUGAUAGGCGACACGGGAAGUGGGACGCGGUCAAGGGUCCUACGAGAGGGAGCAGUAGGGAAUGUUCGGCAAUGGGCGAAAGCCUGACGGAGCGACGCCGCGUGAGUGAUGGAGGUCUUCGGAUCGUAAAACUCUGUUAUGGGGGAAAAACAUAUGUGUAAGUAACUGUGCACAGCUUGACGGUAACUAAUAAGAAAGCAACGGCUAACUACGUG